AUCUGGUUAGCUCAGUCAGUAGAGCAUGAGACUCUUAAUUUCAGGGUUGUAGGUUCGAGCCCCACAUUGGGUG
RNAcentral lists this transfer RNA (73 nucleotides) under Podarcis lilfordi (Lilford's wall lizard). It matches the Rfam family "tRNA". From Rfam's summary of the family: Transfer RNA (tRNA) molecules are approximately 80 nucleotides in length. Their secondary structure includes four short double-helical elements and three loops (D, anti-codon, and T loops). Lineage: Eukaryota; Metazoa; Chordata; Lepidosauria; Squamata; Lacertidae. The record is from Rfam by way of RNAcentral.